AUGCUGCUGUUGGUGGUGGCUGGUGAGGCGACGCUGGAAAGCGUGGAGGCGUCGUCGACGAAUAAGAGAAAAAUAAGAGGACAUACCGUACAUCUCCCCACCGCUGCUCACCUCGAUGGCUCGACCACCUCUGUUGUGCCGCCGACGACACAGGGGGACGCCGAGGUGAUCAGGCUUGUGUGGGCAGAGGACCAGCGAUGGGGUCGACGGUGCUCACCCCGGCCCCCUUGGGAUCUAGGGGAAGGGGCUAUGGCGGCGGCGGCACUGGGAGAGGCGGCGGCGACAGCGGCGCUCGGAGAGGAGGCACCUUCUUUAUUUCUACUUCUACUUUUCUUCUGCACCUAUAGUUUCAAUGCUUUAUCUGCUCGUGGAGCUAUGCUUCUGUUGCAUUGGGCUAAGGUUUGA
RNAcentral lists this ribosomal RNA (405 nucleotides) under Triticum aestivum (bread wheat). RNAcentral's name for it is "partial small subunit ribosomal RNA". Lineage: Eukaryota; Viridiplantae; Streptophyta; Magnoliopsida; Poales; Poaceae. The record is from RNAcentral.